GCCACUAACGUAAGGACAAAAUACUACAAAAUAGGAUUGUUCUCUAUUUUCUGAAGAACCAUUACAAAAACGAGAGAAGAAAUAUUCUAGAAGAUUCGCCCCAACGAAGUGGCGGGAGUCCCACUCUGUCCUCCUGUCCGACACAGUAGAAUACAGAGCCAAUAUAGAGAAAUGCCAGAUCGAUUUGGCCAGGUGAGGAGAGAGAGGCUGCCUACUAGUUGUUCGACGGCAGUUUUAAGAGAAGCAACAAUAGGGUGGGUAGCUUAUAUUGCUUCGAUGCACAUGUAUGUAUGUAAAUAUUGAAUUUUAUCUGUAAGAUCAGUUCCUUUUCUACUCCCUCCAUCCCAAAUUGUAGGUUAUUUUGAUUCAUAGAUGUUGUAUGCAUCUAAAUAUAGUGUAUGUCUAGAUGCAUACAAACAUCUAUGAACACAGAAAAAUCAAAAUGAGCUACAAUUUGAAAUGGAGGGAGUACUUCAUAACAAGUUAUUCAUUAGAAUAUCUUAACGAAAAGUUAACGUCCUCCGUUUCAAACCCUCAUUUUCAACGAAAGGUCGUUUUAGCUUUGUUAUAUACAUCAAUCUUAUCCAACUUUAACUUACUUCAUAGAAAAAUAUAUUAACUUCUAUGAUAUCAAACAAAUGCAAUAUUAAUAUAUAUAUAUAUUAAUGAUUUAUCUAAUGAAACUAGUUUGAUGUUAUCUAUAUGUUUGUGCAUUUGUUUAUAAAUUUAGUCAAACCUAGAUGAGUUUGAUUUAGGAUAAAACUAAGAUGAUUUACAAAUUUGAAGAGUGGAGUAAUAUAUAAUUACGUACUCCAUCAUAUGCAAAGCUAAUUACAGAGAUUGCAAUUUAGCCAAGCUACUAUCGGUAGCAAAGCACAAACGAUGCAAUUUGUUAGUAUUUAGCGGAGGUCAUCAGACUUUAUCAAAGCUCAAGGCACGGGUUACGACAGAUACCCCACGAAUCAAGCCACUACUAUAAACUGAGUACUGAUCCUAACCCUUAGUACCGAUUAGUUUUUGAUCCGGUACUAAUAUGAGCAUUAGUACCAGGUCUAACGACUAGUUCCCCACGAGCCCCCUGACCC
RNAcentral lists this long non-coding RNA (1085 nucleotides) under Setaria viridis. Its description in RNAcentral is "long non-coding RNA (SVIR_LNC007715)". Lineage: Eukaryota; Viridiplantae; Streptophyta; Magnoliopsida; Poales; Poaceae. The record is from RNAcentral.